GAAGUGUGCAGCCAAAGACAGCAGAAGGGCUGGCAGUCUGCUGCGAUGAUUCAGGCAGGAGGACAGCAGGAGCAAUGGCCCUGAGGCAGGAAGAAGACCAUCUGUUUUGAUGAAUUAAGAGAGCAACUGCAGGUGACGUCUAGAGCCCUCAGAAGAGAGUGGCUUCCACAGGCAGGUGAGGGGAAAGGAGCCAUGUCACUCAAGGCCUCCAGGGCAGGUAAGAACUUUAGUCUUUAUCUCAAGUCAUCUUGGAUGCACUGAAGGGUUUUAAGCGAAAAAGUGAAUUAAUUAGAUCGGCAUUUUUGAAAGCUCACUGAGCAGCAAUGUUGGAAAAGUUGGAAGCAAAUAAAUCGAUUAGGAAACUGUGAUGGCUCCUCAUCUCUUCUUCAGUUUUCCACCUACAUUAUUUACAUAACUGCGUUUGUCUUGAUGCAGUCUCAACUCUGUAUUUCUCAUUCCAGAAAACCAAGCUGAAUAUUUUCCUCUUAGUUCCUGACUCUAAGGAAGGAAGUAGAGUCCAGAGGUCUGUGGCCUGGAAUGAAAAGAAGUGAAAUGCAAACUCAGUACCCCAUACACAGAACCUCCUAUCUCCUGGCUACUAUUAAGUGCUGCAGUGUCAGCAACGAUCAUGUAAAUUCACCUAGGUUUCCAAUGUUGAUUUAUCCAGCACAGACCUUGGGAACAGCAUGAUUGAUCCUCAGCUUCACCUCUGAGUCAUCUCACUGUGCCCAGCGUGAUGCUUGUUAUUAGUUGAGUCAUUUGGAUGGAUGCUGACAAUUUACUAUGCCUUAGGCAGAGAGGAUGCCCUAAGAUAACCAGAUUUUGACCGUGGAGAGCCAGUAGUGGAGCCGGGAGCAGGUUACUACAGGCACUAAUGUUGUCCUAGCAGCCAUCACAAAGAAGAUGUGUCCUGGGAAAGUCAGAGCCGGUCCUGAGAGCCAAGACUGCAUCACACACAUUAAGGGAGACACUCCUGCAAACCCCUUCAUCCCCAAAUGUUACAUAAACUGGGUCGGAAUUUGCUGAGAUUCUGUUGAGUUUUCUACAACAGUGAAGAAAAUUUCAAUAAUUGAUAAUUGAUAAU
Molecule: long non-coding RNA, 1084 nt
Organism: Piliocolobus tephrosceles (Ugandan red Colobus)
Lineage: Eukaryota; Metazoa; Chordata; Mammalia; Primates; Cercopithecidae
Exons: 3
Source: RefSeq, a predicted model, not a curated record